GAAGGGGGCUAGCGUUGCUCGGAAUUACUGGGCGUAAAGGGCGCGUAGGCGGACAGUUUAGUCAGAGGUUAAAGCCCAGGGCUCAACCUUGGAAUCGCCUUUGAUACUGGCUGUCUUGAGUACGGGAGAGGUGUGUGGAACUCCGAGUGUAGAGGUGAAAUUCGUAGAUAUUCGGAAGAACACCAGUGGCGAAGGCGACACACUGGCCCGUUACUGACGCUGAGGCGCGAAAGCGUGGGGAGCAAACAGGAUUAGAUACCCUGGUAGUCCACGCCGUAAACGAUGAGUGCUAGUUGUCGGCAUGCAUGCAUGUCGGUGACGCAGCUAACGCAUUAAGCACUCCGCCUGGGGAGUACGGUCGCAAGAUUA
This 369-nucleotide ribosomal RNA is filed under the name uncultured bacterium. RNAcentral describes it as "bacterial SSU rRNA". It matches the Rfam family "Bacterial small subunit ribosomal RNA", at positions 527 to 896 of the family's 1533-position model. The record is from RNAcentral.